UGCGUAGGCGGAUUAAUAAGUCAGUGGUGAAAUCUUUCGGCUCAACCGAGAAGCUGCCAUUGAUACUGUUGAUCUUGAGUUCGGUUGAGGUAGGCGGAAUGUGUAAUGUAGCGGUGAAAUGCUUAGAUAUUACACAGAACACCAAUUGCGUAGGCAGCUUACUAGACCGACACUGACGCUGAGGCACGAAAGCGUGGGGAGCGAACAGGAUUAGAUACCCUGGUAGUCC
Molecule: ribosomal RNA, 229 nt
Filed under: uncultured bacterium
Lineage: Bacteria
Description: partial 16S ribosomal RNA
Rfam family: Bacterial small subunit ribosomal RNA
Source: RNAcentral